CGGAGGAUCCAAGCGUUAUCCGGAAUCAUUGGGUUUAAAGGGUCCGUAGGCGGUUUGUUAAGUCAGUGGUGAAAUCUGGUCGCUCAACGAUCAAACGGCCAUUGAUACUGACAGACUUGAAUUAUUGGGAAGUAACUAGAAUAUGUAGUGUAGCGGUGAAAUGCUUAGAUAUUACAUGGAAUACCAAUUGCGAAGGCAGGUUACUAUCAAUAUAUUGACGCUGAUGGACGAAAGCGCGGGGAGCGAACAGGAUUAGAUACCCUGGUAGUCCACGCCGUAAACGAUGGAUACUAGCUGUUGGGAGCAAUUUCAGUGGCUAAGCGAAAGUGAUAAGUAUCCCACCUGGGGAGUACGUUCGCAAGAAUG
This 366-nucleotide ribosomal RNA is filed under the name uncultured organism. RNAcentral describes it as "bacterial SSU rRNA". It matches the Rfam family "Bacterial small subunit ribosomal RNA", at positions 526 to 896 of the family's 1533-position model. The record is from RNAcentral.